This 420-nucleotide ribosomal RNA is filed under the name uncultured bacterium. Its description in RNAcentral is "bacterial SSU rRNA". It matches the Rfam family "Bacterial small subunit ribosomal RNA", at positions 361 to 773 of the family's 1533-position model. The record is from RNAcentral.
AUUUUGGACAAUGGGCGCAAGCCUGAUCCAGCCAUGCCGCGUGAGUGAAGAAGGCCUUCGGGUUGUAAAGCUCUUUCGGCUGGGGCGAAACGAACCGUGUUAACACCACGGAUCCCUGACGGUACCAGCAGAAGCAGCACCGUCUAACUACGUGCCAGCAGCCGCGGUAAUACGUAGGGUGCAGGCGUUAAUCGGAAUUACUGGGCGUAAAGCGUGCGCAGGCGGUCUAUUAAGACAGGUGUGAAAUCCCCGGGCUUAACCUGGGAACUGCGCUUGUAACUGAUAGGCUGGAGUGUGGCAGAGGGGGGUGGAAUUCCAGGUGUAGCAGUGAAAUGCGUAGAGAUCUGGAGGAACACCGAUGGCGAAGGCAGCCCCCUGGGCUAACACUGACGCUCAUGCACGAAAGCGUGGGGAGCAAAC